RNAcentral lists this ribosomal RNA (459 nucleotides) under uncultured bacterium. RNAcentral's name for it is "bacterial SSU rRNA". It matches the Rfam family "Bacterial small subunit ribosomal RNA", at positions 349 to 793 of the family's 1533-position model. The record is from RNAcentral.
CAGCAGGUGGGGAAUUAUUGCGCAAGUGGGCGAAAGCCUGACGCAGCCAUGCCGCGUGUGUGAAGAAGGCCUUAGGGGUUGUAAAGCACUUUCAAUAGGGAGAAAACGCCUGUAGUUUAAUAGCUGCAGGACUUGAUGUUUACCUAUAGAAGAAGCACCGGCUAACUCCGUGCCAGCAGCCGCGGUAAUACGGAGGGUGCGAGCGUUAAUCGGAAUUACUGGGCGUAAAGCGCGCGUAGGCGGUUUUUAAGUCGGAUGUGAAAUACCCCGGGCUCAACCUGGGAACUGCACUCGAUACUGGAAAACUAGAGUACGGAAGAGGGAGGUAGAAUUCCACGUGUAGCGGUGAAAUGCGUAGAUAUGUGGAGGAAUACCAGUGGCGAAGGCGGCCUCCUGGUUCGAUACUGACGCUGAGGUGCGAAAGCGUGGGGAAGCAAACAGGAUUAGAUACCCUGGUAG